Molecule: non-coding RNA, 24 nt
Filed under: Cricetulus griseus (Chinese hamster)
Lineage: Eukaryota; Metazoa; Chordata; Mammalia; Rodentia; Cricetidae
Source: RNAcentral
AUAAAUAAAAACAUCUAGUAGAUC